CUACGGGAUGCUCCAGUGGUGAAUAUUGCACAAUGGGCGCAAGCCUGAUGCAGCAACGCCGCGUGAGGGAUGAAGGCCUUCGGGUUGUAAACCUCUUUUAGCAGGGAAGAAGCGAAAGUGACGGUACCUGCAGAAAAAGCACCGGCUAACUACGUGCCAGCAGCCGCGGUAAUACGUAGGGUGCAAGCGUUGUCCGGAAUUAUUGGGCGUAAAGAGCUCGUAGGCGGUUUGUCACGUCUGCUGUGAAAAUCCAAGGCUCAACCUUGGACUUGCAGUAGGUACGGGCAGGCUAGAGGGCGGUAGGGGAGGUGGGAAUUCCUGGUGUAGCGGUGGAAUGCGCAGAUAUCAGGAGGAACACCAAUGGCGAAGGCACAUCUCUGGGCCGUAACUGACGCUGAGGAGCGAAAGCGUGGGGAGCGAACAGGAUUAGAUACCCCGGUAGUC
This 444-nucleotide ribosomal RNA is filed under the name uncultured bacterium. Its description in RNAcentral is "partial 16S ribosomal RNA". It matches the Rfam family "Bacterial small subunit ribosomal RNA", at positions 339 to 795 of the family's 1533-position model. The record is from RNAcentral.